UUCUACUACCUUCCAUCCCUUCCCUUGUUCAUUCAGAUCAUUCUCCGCUCUUUUUACUCUUCAUCAAAUCGAUCGGAGUUCAAUCAAAUUUUGAAAAGGGACUAACAUUAGUAUAUGUUGUAGAAAAGAGCUACAAUAGCUUUUAGAGUGAAUUUCAGCUCUGUUCUCCUUGAUAGUUGAACAGUAUGGCCAGAUACCUCACUGCUCUAGUUGUGGCCAUAAUGGUGGUUAUGACUUUAUCUUUGGUGCUGAUGCCAGUGGUGAUGCCUCCGCUUUCUUCGCCUCCGAUGGUGAUUUUGCUAGUUCCAAUUAUGAUGAUUGGCCUUCUUAUUUGCUUGGCAUUAUUUACAUAUUCUAAUGUACCUUAUGUAGAGGUUAACUCCAACAAUGACCGUUAAAAGAUAGGCUUGUUGGUUUUAUCCUGCUCUUCGUGCAGGGUUAUCAAUGGUCUUUAUGUAAUAAGUUUUUAUCGUGUCUGGUUGGAGUGGAUGUUUAACAAAUGCGUUCACUAAAGAAAAUAAGAUAUUAUGAAGAUGAUGUAUGUGCUUUCCUUUACUGACAAAUGUUGAAUCAUGGAGAAGGCAUGCAUUUGUUGUCUUCUAUGAUAUCUCUAUUAAUGACUUGGAUAUCAUAUAUUUUGUGUGGAAGUGGGGCGAAUAGAAUUGGAUAUCAA
This 673-nucleotide long non-coding RNA is filed under the name Coffea arabica (coffee). RNAcentral describes it as "long non-coding RNA (CARA_LNC004598)". Lineage: Eukaryota; Viridiplantae; Streptophyta; Magnoliopsida; Gentianales; Rubiaceae. The record is from RNAcentral.